RNAcentral lists this ribosomal RNA (253 nucleotides) under uncultured bacterium. Its description in RNAcentral is "partial 16S ribosomal RNA". It matches the Rfam family "Bacterial small subunit ribosomal RNA", at positions 524 to 776 of the family's 1533-position model. The record is from RNAcentral.
UACGUAGGGGGCAAGCGUUGUCCGGAAUCAUUGGGCGUAAAGAGCGUGUAGGCGGCUUGGCAAGUCUGGUGUGAAAUCUUGCGGCUCAACCGCAAGCGGUCACUGGAAACUGCCUCGCUAGAGUCCGGAAGAGGAGAGCGGAAUUCCUGGUGUAGCGGUGGAAUACGCAGAUAUCAGGAAGAACACCCGUGGCGAAGGCGGCUCUCUGGGACGGUACUGACGCUGAGACGCGAAAGCGUGGGGAGCGAACAGG